Molecule: ribosomal RNA, 396 nt
Filed under: uncultured bacterium
Lineage: Bacteria
Description: bacterial SSU rRNA
Rfam family: Bacterial small subunit ribosomal RNA
Source: RNAcentral
AAUUUUGCGCAAUGGACGAAAGUCUGACGCAGCAACGCCGCGUGAGGGAUGAAGGCCUUCGGGUUGUAAACCUCUUUUCUCAGGGACGAUAAUGACGGUACCUGAGGAAGAAGCCACGGCUAACUACGUGCCAGCAGCCGCGGUAAUACGUAGGUGGCGAGCGUUGUCCGGAUUUACUGGGCGUAAAGAGCGCGCAGGCGGUCGUACAAGUCGCGUGUGAAAGCCCCCGGCUCAACUGGGGAGGGUCACGCGAUACUGUUCGACUCGAAGGCAGGAGAGGGAAGUGGAAUUCCCGGUGUAGUGGUGAAAUGCGUAGAUAUCUGGAGGAAUACCGGUGGCGAAGGCGGCAUCCUGGACCAUUACUGAGGCUGAGGCGCGAAAGCUAGGGGAGCAAAC